UACGAAGGGUGCAAACGUUGCUCGGAAUUAUUGGGCGUAAAGCGCACGUAGGCGGCUCGGCAAGUCGGAUGUGAAAUCCCACGGCUCAACCGUGGAACUGCCUUAGAUACUGACGGCCUCGAGGGAGAUAGGGGCGAGCGGAACUGUGAGUGGAGCGGUGAAAUGCGUUGAUAUUCACAGGAACUCCGGUGGCGAAGGCGGCUCGCUGGAUCUUUUCUGACGCUGAGGCGCGAAAGCUAGGGGAGCAAACGGG
RNAcentral lists this ribosomal RNA (253 nucleotides) under uncultured bacterium. RNAcentral describes it as "partial 16S ribosomal RNA". It matches the Rfam family "Bacterial small subunit ribosomal RNA", at positions 524 to 776 of the family's 1533-position model. The record is from RNAcentral.